GACGAACGCUGGCGGCGUGCCUAAUACAUGCAAGUCGAACGGUUUAGUUCCAAGAGGCUUGCCUUUUGGAACUAGACAGUGGCGGACGGGUGAGUAACACGUAGGCAACCUACCUGUCAAACCGGGAUAACCUCGGGAAACCGAAGCUAAACCCGGAUAAGCUCCUUUUUCGCCUGAAGGGGGAGUGAAAAGGUGCGACCUGAUGACAGAUGGGCCUGCGGCGCAUUAGCUAGUAGGUAGGGUAACGGCCUACCUAGGCGAUGAUGCGUAGCCGGCCUGAGAGGGUGGUCGGUCGCACUGGGACUGAGAUACGGCCCAGACUCCUACGGGAGGCAGCAGUGGGGAAUAUUGCACAAUGGACGAAAGUUUGAUGCAGCGACGCCGCGUGGAGGGUGUAGGCCUUCGGGUUGUGAACUCCUUUGUCUCGCGAAAAAGGCACAGUUUUGGCUGUGUUGAUGGUAGUGGGGGAAGAAGCGCCGGCUAACUACGUG
This 491-nucleotide ribosomal RNA is filed under the name uncultured bacterium. RNAcentral describes it as "partial 16S ribosomal RNA". It matches the Rfam family "Bacterial small subunit ribosomal RNA", at positions 28 to 507 of the family's 1533-position model. The record is from RNAcentral.